UGAGCUUAAGGCUUUUUUUGGGCUCAAAAUCUAUGAGAAGUACAGUUUAAGUCUGAAAAAUGUCAUUGUGAGGUCAGCCACUUAUUGUGCUUCCAUGAUGUCAUGGAAAUUUGUUCAGUCUGCAAAUUAAAAUAUAUUCUUCCUGGCUGUCAAUACCGCAAAAUCAUCUUAGAUUCUGAAAGUCAAAUUUGGGUCUUUAGUUGGAGUACUCCUGCCAUGCUACUGGUGAACUGAAACUAAAAAUGGGCACUUCAGAACAGGAAAAGAAAAUAAAGAUUCUCCUGAUGUUAUGUUGUAGACUUCUGAGGGAAAAGAGAUCCAAACAAAAGAGAAAGCCAAGAGCAGAUGCGGGUGGACAAGAACUCAGGAUGGGUUUUAGCGGUGGAACAUGGGAGGCU
Molecule: long non-coding RNA, 398 nt
Organism: Lepidothrix coronata (blue-crowned manakin)
Lineage: Eukaryota; Metazoa; Chordata; Aves; Passeriformes; Pipridae
Exons: 3
Source: RefSeq, a predicted model, not a curated record